Molecule: ribosomal RNA, 799 nt
Filed under: uncultured bacterium
Lineage: Bacteria
Description: bacterial SSU rRNA
Rfam family: Bacterial small subunit ribosomal RNA (bases 1-459)
Source: RNAcentral
CAACAAGGCAACGAGCCCGAACGCUAAUUUUUUGGGCCGCCACGUGCGGAAGCGCGGGGCACUGAGGGAGCAUGCCGGUGCCAAACCGGAGGAAGGUGGGGACGACGUCAAGUCAUCAUGGUCCUUACGUCUAGGGCUACACACGUGCUACAAUGGCGGGGACAAAGGGCUGCGAGCCGGCAACGGCAAGCCAAUCACGUAAACCCCGCCUCAGUUCGGAUUGUCGUCUGCAACUUGACGGCAUGAAGCUGGAAUCGCUAGUAAUCGUGGAUCAGCUACGCCACGGUGAAUACGUUCCAGGGNCCUUGUACACACCGUCCCGUCACGCCAUGGAAAGCUGUGAGCGCCCGAAGUCCGUGUCGUUUUCUGCAUGGAUCAUGCGGCCGAAGCGAGCGCAGUGACUGGGCGAGGUCGUAACAAGGUAGCCGUAGGGGAACCUGCGGCUGGAUCACCUGCCUGAACAGAUCGCGAGUAUCCUCCCUCGGAGGGGAAAGCAUCUCGUAGUCGCUUCGCUCGACACAUUCUGUGCACCACUCUCGAUUGUNGACCCUCGGGCACUCGGUGCCCUGCGGGUCAGUGCUGUUGACACGGAUGUACUGGUAGAUCGUGGGAUUAUGAUCCUUAUCUGAGAUGAAUUUUCGCAGAACAGUCACUCGUUGAGACAUGCGCGUAGUUGCUGAAACUCAUGUGUAGCAGAAGCUUGGGAGCUGGCCCGAGCAGAGCUGUAGCGCAAGCUGGAGGCAACGGACUGAGCCAUGGAACGAUCAUAUCCGCCGCGUACUUGAACCAGUGUCUCUAU